This 75-nucleotide non-coding RNA is filed under the name unclassified sequences. The record is from Rfam.
GUCCGCUUCCCCGCUUGCAUCCGUACGGAUGGGCUAUGGCCUUCGAGGCACGGGAAGUCCACAUUUCAAAGAGGC